GAUGAACGCUGGCGGCGUGCCUAAUACAUGCAAGUCGAGCGAACGGACGAGAAGCUUGCUUCUCUGAUGUUAGCGGCGGACGGGUGAGUAACACGUGGAUAACCUACCUAUAAGACUGGGAUAACUUCGGGAAACCGUAGCUAAUACCGGAUAAUAUUUUGAACCGCAUGGUUCAAAAGUGAAAGGCGGUCUUGCUGUCACUUAUAGAUGGAUCCGCGCUGCAUUAGCUAGUUGGUAAGGUAACGGCUUACCAAGGCAACGAUGCAUAGCCGACCUGAGAGGGUGAUCGGCCACACUGGAACUGAGACACGGUCCAGACUCCUACGGGAGGCAGCAGUAGGGAAUCUUCCGCAAUGGGCGAAAGCCUGACGGAGCAACGCCGCGUGAGUGAUGAAGGUCUUCGGAUCGUAAAACUCUGUUAUUAGGGAGGAACAUAUGUGUAAGUAACUGUGCACAUCUUGACGGUACCUAAUCAGAAAGCCACGGCUAACUACGUG
This 497-nucleotide ribosomal RNA is filed under the name uncultured bacterium. RNAcentral describes it as "partial 16S ribosomal RNA". It matches the Rfam family "Bacterial small subunit ribosomal RNA", at positions 28 to 507 of the family's 1533-position model. The record is from RNAcentral.